RNAcentral lists this ribosomal RNA (253 nucleotides) under uncultured bacterium. RNAcentral describes it as "partial 16S ribosomal RNA". It matches the Rfam family "Bacterial small subunit ribosomal RNA", at positions 524 to 776 of the family's 1533-position model. The record is from RNAcentral.
UACAGAGGUCCCGAGCGUUGUUCGGAUUCAUUGGGCGUAAAGGGUGCGUAGGCGGCGGGGCCAGUCUGAUGUGAAAUCCCAGGGCUCAACCUUGGAACUGCAUUGGAUACUGCCUUGCUAGAGUACUGGAGAGGGAACUGGAAUUUACGGUGUAGCAGUGAAAUGCGUAGAGAUCGUAAGGAAGGCCAGUGGCGAAGGCGAGUUCCUGGACAGUGACUGACGCUGAGGCACGAAGGCCAGGGGAGCAAACGGG